AACUUGCCCCGGAGUUCGGAAUAGCCUUCCUAACGGAUGGGUAAUACCGAAUGCCGUAUCAGGGGGCAUCCUCUUGAUACGAAAGUUACGGCGCUCCGGAGGGGCCCACGUAGGUAUUAGCUAGUUGGUGAGGUAACGGCUCACCAAGGCCAAGAUGCUUAGCAGGUGUGAGAGCACGACCUGCGCCACUGGCACUGGGACACUGGCCAGACUCCUACGGGAGGCUGCAGUCGAGGAUCUUUCGGGCAAUGGGCGCAAGCCUGACCGAGCGAUGCCGCGUGUGCGAUGAAGGCCUUCGGGUUGUAAAGCACUGUCGAGGGAGAGAAAAGCCCGCAAGGGUUUGAUCGAUCCCUGGAGGAAGCACGGGCUAAGUUCGUG
Molecule: ribosomal RNA, 378 nt
Filed under: uncultured bacterium
Lineage: Bacteria
Description: bacterial SSU rRNA
Rfam family: Bacterial small subunit ribosomal RNA
Source: RNAcentral